Molecule: long non-coding RNA, 788 nt
Organism: Clupea harengus (Atlantic herring)
Lineage: Eukaryota; Metazoa; Chordata; Actinopteri; Clupeiformes; Clupeidae
Exons: 2
Source: RefSeq, a predicted model, not a curated record
CAAGCGCUGGGAGUGCUGAUCCCAGUGUGUGAAACACAGCGUAGUGAUCAUCAUGUGCUGGAUGGUGGUGGGCUAAUUAUCAGUACAACUGAUCAGUGCCACUAUCUCUGGAGUACAACUGAACUGAGUAACUGGGUUAACUUUCAGAACACUUAAUGAAAUGAAUCAAUGUAGAAUGUGAGACGUUCACAUCAAUCAAUUUAUGUCCAUUUGUCGAUUUUGAUUAUGUUUACUCUACUUUUUUAUUGCGAAUGCUGUCAUGUGUUAUGAGCAUACUGCAGAUUCAAUCACACCAGUGUGUUUAGAAUGUUGCAGAAUGAUUGUUUAUUUGGGUCCAUCGAAUAUAUAAAGAACUGAAUCAGUCUUAUCUUGUUCAUGAACCCAUUUGUAGGUUAAUUUGUGUUUUACAGAUGUUAGUUUUCUUUUUGCUGUGUGUAAGUUUGAUAUGACUCCUUUGAGUUGCACAGGUCUUAUGACUGCAAUAUGCAUUUUGGUGUGUGGGUACGACUGGAAUUAGUCCAUUGUGUGAUUUGAUCAGGAGCUUGUGUAAAUGGUCAAAGCCUCUCCUCCCAUCAAUCUGUAACUGUAGCCUGAUGUCACCUUAACUACGCCCCCUUGCCUAGUGAACAAAGACACGUCUUGGUAGAAACCAGUCUGGUCAUGUAUUUUAGAAUAAUGGGACUAUAUGUGUGAAAUGAAUUGAGUUUGUAAUAAGAAGGAGCCUUGCCCUACAGAUCUUUGAAUUUGUGGUGUUUGUAACUUUCCUGAAAAUAAAGCUUGCAGUCUCA